Xyrichtys novacula (pearly razorfish) is the source of this 6192-nucleotide non-coding RNA. The record is from the annotation of a GenBank genome assembly. NCBI's taxonomy places the organism in Eukaryota, Metazoa, Chordata, Actinopteri, Labriformes, Labridae.
CCAACUUAAAAGGGACAUUUUGCUGAAUGGAGCAGCGGACCUGUCUGUUACUAUCAGAGUCUCUGUCCUGCACGUUAAUGAUGCCCACCUCUGUACCAGGUGACACGUUCUCAGGUAUGGGGUUCGUCAGUGAUUUCAGGUAUAUAACCGGAGCGUUGUCGUUUAUAUCUGUUAUAUCAAUUAUGACUUUGGCAUAUGAGGUCAAUCCCAAGCCAUCUUUCGCUGUGACACGCAGUUCAUACGAUGUCGCCAUUUCAAAAUCAACUGCUCUUUUUAAUUGUAUUUCCCCUGUCUUAUGAUCAAUGGCGAAUAUUGACCCCAUAUCUUCUGAGAUGUGUCCAAAAUCAUAUAUAACAUCCCCAUUUAAUCCCUCAUCUGCAUCAGUAGCGCUCACUGCUAGAACAAUGGUAUCCAGUGGAGAAUUUUCAGGCAGACUGGCUUUGUAAACGGCCUGGCUGAACACUGGUACAUUAUCAUUAGCAUCCAGUACAGUGACGUGAAUAACUACUGUACCUGAUCUCUGAGGAGAGCCUCCAUCCAGAGCUGUAAGGAGCAGAUUCAUUUCUUUCACAUUUUCACGGUCAAGCUCAUGGUUAAGAACGAGCUCCACAGAACUUGUUCCAACGCCCAGAACAAAAUUAUCAUUCUUUUGGAGGCUGUAGGUCUGAACUGAAUAUUUACCGACGUCCGCGUCAUGUGCUUCCUCUAUUGGAAAACGAGCUCCCUUAUCUGCCGAUUCACUGAUAUCUAUUUGGAUCAACUCCUUGUUAAACUGUGGUGAAUUAUCGUUUAUAUCCUGCACAUGUAGACUAAUCCUGUGCAGUUCCAACGGAUUCUCUAACAUCAGUUCCUGUUUCAAAACGCAGGAUGCUUUGUCUCCACAAAGGCCCUCUCUGUCGAUUCUCUCUGCAAGAAUUAGAUCCCCAUUAUGGAGGUUUAUGUCACAAAAACGUUUAUCGCUCUCCUCAGUGUCAAUGCGGGCCUUUCGGGUCGAUAGUCCGUUCUUUUGGAGACCUAAUUCCUUAACAAUGUUUCCGAUCACAGAUCCGCGUUUCAUCUCCUCCGGAAAAGAAUAGCUGAUAUCUCCAUUGGUGACAUGAAGAGAGAACAGCACCAAGCCGAGGGCAAAGCGUUGUAAUCCUAGCAUCGUGAAAGCCAUCACCAACCCGAACUGGAAUAGUAAAUACUUCUUAGUGCAGGAAAAAUGUCCGAAAAAAGGACUUCAACCAACAACAAGGAGCCCGUGCCUCUCUGGACGAUCAACUACAGCACCUUCAGUGAUUAUAGGUUGGUAACAGUGGGUGGAUGUCGACACACCAUGUAUUACAGCUGGUGCACAGCGACAUCGUGAGUCUCCUCUAGAGACUGCAUACUGCAACAAACAGCAUGUAUGCAAACUGCAUAUCUUUAAACAACCGCACAACAACAGCAGGACGAGUACGUUUGUUUCAAGGAUAUAUAAUGUAACAAAAAGAGUUCAGACAUGUUAGGAAGAUCAAACAAAAACGGUCCUUUCAAAACUAACAGAUUUCAAGUACUUACACCCCAAAAAACGGAAGACAAUAAAGUGAGUUUUCUCAACACUAUUUCAGUUUUGCACAAGCUCUCAAAUGUUUCCAACAACCAGAAUAUUUGGCAAAAACCCAGAGACUUGACAGCAAAAACCACCUGAAACAUCCAAAGUGAACAUUAAUUCACAAAAGAGGAAAUAAAAUAUGCAUUUAUGGAAAAAUCUGAAAUUUCAAGAGCUAGAUUCCAUUUUACCAAGAAACCAACAUAGAUAUUACACUCGUAAUUAUCAUAGGAAUCUACAGCAUGUACACUAUCUGAACUACGGGGGGGGGGGGGGGCUAAAUACAUGGCAGACAACACCACAAACCCCUGACAGAAUUGAGCUUUAUAUAAUUUACAGAGUAUGGAUCAUGUAAAACUGAAAAAGUCCUUUUAUAGCUUUGAAAGCUUGACACUAAAAACUAGCAUCAGGUUCUUUGUUUUAAAUUAUGAAAGGGCCACAGGACUGUGAUUUCAGGAAGCGGAUCUUAAAAAUUUUGCAUUUUUAACAAUGUAGGAGAAAUGCAGAGUGAAUAUGUAGUGUAAUCUGAGAAAAAAAAUCAACUAAAAAUCAGUCCUUCAGGUGAUCACUACCUUAAGUGGCUAUUAAAGAAAGCCAAAUGAUAUUUUGUCAGAAUUUGUCAACAAAGCUGAUGACAAAUAUCCAGAAUAAGUCUCCCACUGUUGUUGUGUGAGGGAAAAAGUAGGAAAGAGGAAGGGAGGGAAAGAAAGAUAUACAGAUGUGAAAAGUUCCAAAAUAGCUAAGGCUUUAAAAGGAAAUACACAAAACGAAGUAAAUGACACUUCAAUGGGCCUCUCCAACAUCAAAAGAAAACCUUACAAAUAUUGCAGAUGAGAAGAGUCAUUUGCAUUGGAUACAGUCAAGAUUAAAAAAAAAUCGACAAGUUACUGCAGUCAAUCCACUGCAAUCAGAUUUACCAUAAACUCAGAAAGUACUGUUAAAUAAUCAGAUACCUACACAAACUAAAUGUAUUUGUUCGUAUUUCAGGUGAGUCGGCAUAGUCACCAAACACUUCAGCAAAGUCCUUCAAGCUUUUCUUUGAGUCUGGUCAACAGGUACUGUGCUGUCAUUGUUUGAUGACACAAACUUAUAGUCACUGGUUUAAGACUCUGUUGUCAGAUAAAAUAAUAACCAUAAGCCUGAGCAGGCAUGAAACAGUGUUGAGCAUACCACUGCAGAGUUAAUAGAUCCAUACAAAAAGGGGUAAACUUCGUGUUUUGGAAGCUGUCUUUUUUUAAGAAGGGAUGCCACCUAGGGUCUUAUAAGGUACACUGUAGAUAACAGCUCAUGGCUUUGAUUGGUGCAACUUCAUAAAAACUGAAAAAAAACAACAACACCAAAGACACAUAACAAAUCUCUCAUUAUUCAACAGAGACUGUAGAGAAUUGCUUGUUGAAGACACUUCUGCAUCACAGCAAACCUGUUACUUCAUCAAAAAUAAUCAGAUUACUGCUGCAAAAAUUAUGCAAAUAUUCUUGUCUUAAUUGUCCAACUGUGACUUCCAAUAUAACUUAAAGCACUGAACGUAUACUUUUUCAAUGAAAAACAAAUUACAAUCUCAGAAAAGCAAAGAUUUAAAGACAAGAACAAUAAAGACUGAUGGUAUGUGUCCUGGAAAACUUGCUCAAGUAAGAAACUGGGUUUCAGAACCAAGGACAGAGAUAAAAAGAAAAAAAAAGUUCUACACAGAAAAAAAAAACAGCCAACUCAAGCAAAGCAGAGGAAACUCACAAAUAAACGACAAACCUAAAAAUUUACAUUAAAAACGGACUGUUAAAGUGUGAAGUGUUGGAUUACAACACGCUCUUGUAUCAAACUGUCUUGCAAGGUUUCCUACCUCAGGAGAGUCGUCACAGUCUCCAAACACUUCUGCAAAGUCUGAUGGGCUUUUCCUCAGAGUCUGGUCAGCUGGCAGUGUGUUGUCAUUGUACGAUGACACAAACUUAAAGUCACUGGUUCGAGACCCUGUUGUCAGGUAGGCGUCAUAAUUGUAAGCGCUGCGUAAAGUUCCUGUGCCGUCAACAUCUGCGUAAUUAGGAGGGAGAUACGCGCUGGGGAUGGCCACUGCUCCGUCAAACAACAGUCUGGGCUUUCUCCUGCGACAAAACCUCACACCGAGGAUGAUGAUGAUGAAGGUCAGAAAAAACGUCGACACACACACCAGCGCGAUGAUCAGAUAAGAGGUCAGUUUGGAGUUCUUCUCAUCAUAAGAAAUGUCCUUCAGUUCUGGCACCUCAGCCAAGUUAUCAGAAAUCAGUAAAUACAUGGAACAGGUGGCAGACAGAGAGGGCUGCCCGUUAUCUUUCACUGACACUACAAGAUUCUGUUUCAUGCUGUCAGAUUCAGAAAUGUCCCGCUGGGUCCUGAUCUCUCCACUGUGGACACCAAUAGUGAAAAGUCCCGGAUCAGUGGAUUUCACUAUCUGAUACGACAGCCAAGCGUUCUGUCCAGAGUCCGCGUCCACCGCUAUCACUUUGGACACCAGAGAGCCUCCGUGAGCAGCUUUGGGGACCAGCUCGGUCAUGAACGACUUGCCCUCUGGUCCGGGGUACAGGAUCUGAGGAGAGUUGUCAUUCACAUCUGAUAUGAACACACUCACGGUCACGUUGCUGCUGAGAGGAGGAGAACCGUUGUCUCUGGCCAUCACCUGAACUUUGAAGCUCCGGAACUGUUCAUAAUCAAACGACCUCACAGCGUGGAUCACCCCCGUGUCUCCGUUCACGGACACAUAGGAGGACACCGGGGCACCGUUCACCUCACCGCCUAACAGAGAAUAAAUCACUGUACCGUUCUGUCUCCAGUCGGGGUCUCGAGCACUCACGGAACAUAAAGUGGAGCCAGCUUUGUUAUUCUCACUCACAUAUGCGCUGUACGACUGCUCCUCAAACACAGGUGGGUUGUCGUUGAUGUCUGCUACAGAUAACUGAACAGUUUUAGACGACGACAGAGGUGGAGAGCCCUCGUCAGUGGCACUGAUUGUAAUGUUGUAAUCAGACACUAGUUCACGGUCCAGUUGUCCUGUGCUCACCAGAGAAUAAUAGUUUUUAAUUGAAGGAACCAACUUAAAAGGGACAUUUUGCUGAAUGGAGCAGCGGACCUGUCUGUUACUAUCAGAGUCUCUGUCCUGCACGUUAAUGAUGCCCACCUCUGUACCAGGUGACACGUUCUCAGGUAUGGGGUUAGUCAGUGAUUUCAGGUAAAUUACCGGAGCAUUAUCAUUCACAUCAGUAAUAUCAAUAAUUACUUUGGCAUAUGAAGCCAAACCCAAGCCAUCUUUCGCUGUGACACGCAGUUCAAACGAUGUCGUUGUUUCAAAAUCAACUGCUCUUUUUAAUUGUAUUUCUCCUGUCUUAUGAUCAAUGGCAAAUAUCGACCUCAUAUCUUCUGAGAUGUGUCCAAAAUCAUAUGUAACAUCUCCAUUCAAUCCCUCAUCUGCAUCAGUAGCGCUAACUGCUAGAACAAUGGUAUCCAGUGGAGAGUUUUCAGGCAGACUGGCUUUGUAAACGGCCUGACUGAACACUGGUUUAUUAUCAUUAGCAUCCAGUACAGUGACGUGAAUAACUACUGUACCUGAUCUCUGAGGAGAGCCUCCAUCCAGAGCUGUAAGGAGCAGAUUCAUUUCUUUCACAUUUUCACGGUCAAGCUCAUGGUUAAGAACGAGCUCCACAGAGUUUGUUUCAACGCUAAGAACAAAAUUAUCAUUCUUUUGGAGGCUGUAGGUCUGAACUGAAUAUUUACCGACGUCCGCGUCGUGUGCUUCCUCGAUUGGAAAACGGGCUCCCUUCACUGCCGAUUCUCUGAUAUCUAUUUGGAUCAAUUCUUUACUGAACUGCGGAGAGUUAUCGUUUAUAUCCUGCACAUGUAGACUAAUCCUGUGCAAUUCUAACGGAUUCUCUAACAUCAGUUCCUGUUUCAAAACGCAGGAUGCUUUGUCUCCACAAAGGCCCUCUCUGUCGAUUCUCUCUGCAAGAAUUAGAUCCCCAUUAUGGAGGUUUAUGUCACAAAAACGUUUAUCGCUCUCCUCAGUGUCAAUUCGGGCCUUUCGGGUCGAUAGUCCGUUCGUUUGGAGACCUAAUUCCUUAACAAUAUUUCCGAUCACAGAUCCGCGUUUCAUCUCCUCCGGAAAAGAAUAGCUGAUAUCUCCAUUGGUGACAUGAAGAGAGAACAGCACCAAGCCGAGGGCAAAGCGUUGUAAUCCUAGCAUCGUGAAAGCCAUCACCAACCCGAACUGGAAUAGUAAAUACUUCUUAGUGCAGGAAAAAUGUCCGAAAAAAGGACUUCAACCAACAACAAGGAGCCUGUGUCUCUCUGGGCGAUCAACUACAUCACCUUCAGUGAUUAUAGGUUGGUAAUAGUGGGUGGAUGUCGACACACCAUGUACUACAGCUGGUGCACAGCGACAUCGUGAGUCUCCUCUAGAGACUGCAUACUGCAACAAACAGCAUGUAUGCAAACUGCACAUCUUUAAACAACCGCACAACAACAGCAGGACGAGUACGCUUGUUUCAAGGAUAUAUAAUGUUACAAAAAGUGUUCAGACAUGUUAGGAAGAUCAAACAAAAACGGUCCUUUCAAAACUAACAGAUAUGGAACCAAAAAAACGCAAAACAAUUAAGUGA